GGGCGGGUAGCUCAGCGGUAGAGCAGCGGUUUUACACAUCGCCGGUCGCAGGUUCGAUCCCUGUCCCGCCCA
Molecule: transfer RNA, 72 nt
Filed under: Myxococcota bacterium
Lineage: Bacteria; Pseudomonadati; Myxococcota
Also listed under: 1 other name
Description: tRNA-Val
Rfam family: tRNA
About the family: Transfer RNA (tRNA) molecules are approximately 80 nucleotides in length.
Source: RNAcentral